This 443-nucleotide ribosomal RNA is filed under the name uncultured bacterium. RNAcentral's name for it is "bacterial SSU rRNA". It matches the Rfam family "Bacterial small subunit ribosomal RNA", at positions 28 to 457 of the family's 1533-position model. The record is from RNAcentral.
GACGAACGCUGGCGGCAUGCCUAAUACAUGCAAGUCGAGCGAACAGAUGAAGUGCUUGCACUUCUGACGUUAGCGGCGAACGGGUGAGUAACACGUAAGGAAUCUACCUAUAAGCGGGGGAUAACAUUCGGAAACGGGUGCUAAUACCGCAUAAUAUCUUCUUCCGCAUGGAAGAAGAUUGAAAGACGGCUCUGCUGUCACUUAUAGAUGACCUUGCGGUGCAUUAGUUAGUUGGUGGGGUAACGGCCUACCAAGACGAUGAUGCAUAGCCGACCUGAGAGGGUGAUCGGCCACAUUGGGACUGAGACACGGGCCCAAACUCCUACGGGAGGCAGCAGUAGGGAAUCUUCCGCAAUGGGCGAAAGCCUGACGGAGCAAUGCCGCGUGAGUGAAGAAGGCCUUCGGGUCGUAAAACGUUCUCGUUAUAAGUACGAAGGAACAAA